AAUUAGUAGAAUUAGUUGAAUUGGAGAAAAAAAUUUCCCUAUGUAUACGUUCGAUAGGUAACAAUACAAAUUGAACGAGACCGUGCAUGAUCGUAGGAACGUAUGAUGAGUAAGAUAUAGAUGAAAAAACGAGUAAAUGUGUCAUGGAAGACGAUCGAAAAGUGCGUGCGACGUUAGAAAAAAAAAGUAAUAUUAUAAUAUUAAAACAAGAUUAGUGUUAAUUGUGAUAAAUAAAUAUAGACAAAAAUAUAUUAUUUAUUUAAUUUAUGUCCCAAUAUAAAGGUUAGAUUCCGAUAAGUGGAUUCAAUCUUACACAAUCAAAAAUCAGGACGCUAAAAAGAUCAAAGAAGACCUAUAAGAAAAAUUUGCGGUAUUCGACAUCCGCAAUUAUCAAUUCCCCUCAAAGUCCUCUCAAGUUGGCAACAAAAAAAAAAAAGAAAAAGAAA
Long non-coding RNA from Apis florea (little honeybee), 446 nucleotides. The record is from RefSeq and is a predicted model, not a curated record. Lineage: Eukaryota; Metazoa; Arthropoda; Insecta; Hymenoptera; Apidae.